UUGAAAUGUAAACGAGAAUCGGAGCAAUUGGUAUUUUUUAUUACUAAUCAGUGGAAUACCGGUCAAUACACGAAAUGGAAUUACACUGCAAAUGGAAACUAUAAUUGGAAAUUAAGCUCCUCCAAUGGUGAUUCCAGCUCCUGUAAUGGAGAAGAUGAAUAGGAAUUUAGAAUUGGAAGAAGAGGAGAAGAGAAUUAACGAGAGAAAAUCUGUUGAGAGGGAAAAUGUACCAAAUCCAUAACUGCCUUCCCUCCGUAUCAUUAGUUAGUUAUGAAUAACUAAUCAUAAUGAUUUCCGUUGUCCGAUCAUAUAUUUUGUGUGAGAUGUAAUCUGAGUCUUCCUUUUCUUGACGUUAGAGAUUAUAACACGUAUCCUUGAAUCCUUGUUCCUGAUGUUGCCAUGUCAUGUGUACACUUUCCUAAUAUUAAUCCCAGAUUAGAAGCCUCUUCACACUUCAACUGCUAACACCUAAAUCAUUACAAUAUCCCUUCGAUGAGAAAGGACCUUGUCCUCAAGGUCAUGUUUGAGACAAACUCUGGAAACUGACUGUGAAUAUAGCCCCAAUCCUCCCAAGUUGCUUUAUCUGGGCUCAUGUUAGCCAACCGCACCAAGACCUUAACACCAACGUUGUUGUUAACCUUCUCCAUUCAGCGUUGUAGUAUGGUGAUCGGUUGAAUCAAGACAUGGCCUUUCCCAUCGCAAUCUGGUGGUUGUGAUUGUUCUAGAAUAGUAGGUCCAACCCAUUCUUUCAGCUGCGAAACGUGGAACAGGGGGUGAAUAGUAGCUCCGAUCGAUAGAUCCAGAUGGUAAGCAACAAAUCCAAUCUUCUUCAAGAUUUUAUAUGGUCCAUAAAACAUAGCGCUUAAUUUGAGAUUUUCUUUGAAUAGUCACUGAUGAUUGACGAUAUAGUUGCAGCUUCAAGUAAACUAAAUCACCUUCCUGAAGCACUCUUUCCGUGCGAUUUCGAUCAGCGAAGAAAUUCAUACGAGAUUGGGCCUGCAGUAGAUUCUCCCUUAAUUUCUGAAGCAUGGCCUACCGUUGCGCAAAACAAAGACCAACUGGAGAACGUGUGGAAUGGGACAGUGAGCCCAUCGAAAGCUGGGGAGGUGGAUACCCGUAAAGAGCCUCAAAGGGGUCGUCUGCAAGGAGGUAUGAUGGUUGGUGUUAUACUACCACUCCGCUAAAGGUAACCACUACAACCAUUCUUUGGGUUUGUACUGGUCAUGGCUCGAAGAUAUGCCUCAAGGCAACGAUUAAGCCUUUCUGUUAGACCGUCCAUCUGGGGGUGGUAGGCGGUGGACAUAGCGAACUUAGUGCCCAUGGCUUUGAACAAUUGUUGACAAAAGAGACUAGUGAAAAUAGGGUCUCGAUCAGUCACAAUGGAUUGAGGCAAGCCAUGUAUUUGUAAAUUUAAAGUAAGAACACAUCUGCAACAUGCUGAGCUGUAAAUGGGUGUUUCAGGGCCAAGAAAUGGCCAUAUUUAGUCAAUCGAUCCACGACCACAAGUAUGAGAUCCUUAUGGUUAGAUAGAGGCAGUCCCUCUACAAAAUCCAUGGCUAUAUCUUUCUAAGGACUGAUGGGUACGGGUAGAGUCUGAAGCAAGCCUAAGGGGUGGAUGUUCUCAUUCUUUGUCCUCUAGCAAAUGUCACAAGCUGCAAUCUACCUAAUCACAUCCUGUUUUAUGUUAGGCCAAUAGAAAAUAGAGUGAAUUCUUCUGUAGGUACCCAACUGUCUUGAAUGACCCCCUAAGGGUGACAAGUGCAGUACCUCAAAGACUUGAGACCUCAAAUUAGUGGCUCUACCCAUGAAAUUUUUUUGCUUGUAUUGGAUGACACCAUGCACUAGAGUGUAGUUGGGCUUUCCCAUACGAUCGACAAUCAACUCUGUGAGUAUUGAGUGGAGAAUGGAUUAUGUUCAUAACUAAGAACAACCUGUUGCAUCCAAGUUGGUUCUGAUGAAGUAAGGGCAUAUGUAGAGCCUUCCUCUUCUUGUCUCCUAGAAAGGGCAUCAGCCACUCUGUUAUCAGUCCCCCUCUUGUAUUGUACUUCGUAGUAAAGGCUAAGUAGCUUAGUCAGACCGCUCAAGCAAAUAUUUGAGACUUGGUGGUCUGUCUUAAUAAUGAAGUGCCCCCUUUGUAAAUAAUGCCUCCAUUUAUUCACUACUGCCAACAAAGCCAUAUAUUCCUUUUCAUAGGUAGAUAGUCCCCAAUGCUUAGGCCAUAGAGCUUUGCUGAAAAAAGCUAAGGGUCAGCCCUCCUGCAUAAGCACAACACCCAUUCCCUUGGAGCAAACAUCAGUCUCCAUCACAAAUGUUUUAGAAAAUCCACCAAAGCAAGAACAAGGGCAGUAGUCAUGAUUGAUUUUAGGUGCUGAAAAGCUGCAUCUGCUUCACUAUUUCGGUGGAAGAAUUAUUAUUUAAUAAACUGGUUAAGGGUUUGCUUAUCACCCCAUAUAACUAGAUAAACCUCCUAUAGUAACCCGUUAACCCUAAAAAACCCUCUCAGAGCCUUAAGAGUUUUAGGUAAAGGCCAAUUAACCAUUGCAUCAAUUUUAAAGGGGUCAGUAGACACACCAUGACCCGUGAUGAUAUGACCCAAGUAUUCUACUUGUGAUUGUCCAAAAGAGCAUUUGGAUCUCUUGGCAUACAAAUGCCCUUUCCUCAAAAUAGUCAGCACUUUCUUCAAAUGUAAAAUGAGGUCUUGUAUAGUAGGACUAUACACUAAUAUGUCAUAAAAAAAGACUAAUACAAACUGCCUCAAAUAGUCUUUGAAAACUUGAUUCAUUAACCCUUGGAAAGUGGCCGAGGCAUUAGUUAAACCAAAUGGCAUGACCUUGAAUUCAUAGUAACCCAAAUGUGAUCUAAAGUCUAUUUUGUAGAUGUCCUCCUCAUUCAUUCUAAUUUGAUGAUAUCUAUCCCGUAGGUCAAUUUUUGAAAAGACAAAUGAUCUACUAAGUUCAUCCAAUAAGUCAUCAACUAAAGUAAUAGGAAACUUAUCCUUAAUAGCGAGCUUAUUGAGCUCCCUGUAAUCAAUGCAAAACCUCCAACUCCCAUCCUUUUUCUUCACUAACAGCACCGGGGAUGAAAAGGGGGAAUGACUAGGCUGAAUAAUGCCACUAUUCAACAUGUCUUUAAUUUGUUUUUCAAUCUCAUUUUUCUAAAAGAAAUUAUACCUGUAAGGUUUGAUACUAACUGGUUCUGCUUCUGGUUUAAGGGGAAUGGAGUGGUCCUGCAUCCUCUUAGGUGGCAAUGAUAAUGGUUGUACAAAUACAUCCUCAAAAAGGACCAAUGUAUCAUUAAUUUCUGCAGGUACAGUCUCUUUCUCCACCACCUCUGUUGCUGUGAUAGUGAAAAGAUGUGCCCAUAGUCCUUCCCCUUCUUCAACAUCUAUUUAAUGCUGCCCGAAGUCAUGCUUUGAAGAAUCCCUUCAUUAUACAUACCCUUGAGUUCUACUCUCCUUCCUUUAUGCGUCACUUGAGUUGAGUAAUCCAUAAAGUCCAACAACACUAGAUUGUGGUUUUUCAUAUAAUCACCUCCAAAUACAAGGUGUCUUCGAACUCAAUACUUUGUUUCUUCCAUUUAAACUUAGGAAAGAAAUGCAAACUCAUUAGUUUUACCCUAUUAAUUACAGUGACUCUCAUUGGAAUAGCUUCCUCAAUCACACAACCAAUUUGUUUAGCUGUACUCAUGUCCAUAAAACUAUGAGUGCUACCAGAGUCUAGCAAUAUUAUCAGUUCCUUCUUCUUAGAUUCCCCUUUAAGUCUGAUGGUAUUAGGAACUAUAGUACUUGAAAAGGCAUGCAAACUAAUUGCUUCAUCCAUAGGAAUCUCCUCUGGAAGCUCCAGCUGGUUCCCUGAUUCUUCUUCCUUAGACUCCACUGCAGCUGAUAUAGUAUUCAAUUGUUUGUUUCUACACUGAUGAUAUUUGUCUCCACAUUUGUAGCAUAGCCCUUGGUUCCUUCUCACUUCCCAAAGCUUGUUUGCAUUAGCUGUAGGGUUUGUAGACCCUUCCUUAGCCCCUUAGAUAGUAGGCUUAGUACUGAAAUUGUUGUUGGUGUUUGAUUGGGGGGUCCUGCUCCACACCAUUUUAUUCCUCCUGUUCAUGGUAUCCCACACCUUCUCUUGAUGUCUGGCUUUGUCGACUGCUUAACUUAAUAUAAAUGGGUUCAAUAUCUUAACUGUGUGCUUGAUUUCAUCCUUAAGCCCUUCAAUAAAGAAUCCCAAGAAAAAUUCCUCUGGAAUUGUGGGAUUUCUAAUCAAGACCCAUGCCUUCAAUUCCUCAAACUUCUUUAAAGUAGUCAUUAAUUGUACCUUUCUGCUCCAACUUCUUAAAUUCGCGCAGAAGAUUUAAGCCACUAUUUGUAGAUUCCUCAAAUCUUUUACAUAUUACUUCACUAAAUUCAGCCUAUCUAAUUGUGCCUUUGCUCAGGUGAUAUGAGAAGUACCACUACUCUGCUUUGCCAUUCAGGUGUAGCACUGCCAUAUCCAGUCUUUGCAGCCGAUCCUCAACAUGGUUAAAGUAAAAGUAUCGCUCACACUUCCUCAACCAAGACUUGGGGUUGCUGUCCUCAAAAUAUGAGAAUUCGAUCUUAUAUGCUUUGUAAAAUUUAUUAGGCCUGUUCAGCGGUGGAUCAAAGCAUCCUACUAUGUGAGGUUGCUGCCCAGGCCCUUCCGCUUGUUGUUGUCCCCUAGGAGGACUACCCAAAAUACCAUCGUGAGGUGGAAGAAGCCGCUCCAUCAACACAUCCAACAUGCAACCUCGUUCGUUGAUCUUCGCGUCACUCAACCCCAAUUUCUGAUUUAUAUCUGCCAUGUAUUGUUGUAGCUAGGUGUCAAUUUUCUUAAUGUGCUCUUCUGCAGCUUUUGCCUUAGUUUUCGCCAUCUUUGAUUUGGUCAGGAUUUUCUCUGAUACCACUUGUAAUACUCUUGAAGUGUAAACGAGAAUCGAAACAACUGGUAUUUUUUAUUACUAAUCAAUGGAAUACAGUUUAAUACACAAAAUGAAAUUACAUCGCAAAUGAAAACUAUAACUAGAAAUUAAGCUCCUCCAAUGGCGAUUCUAGCUCCUAUAAUGGAGAAAAUGAAUAGGAAUUUGGAACUAGAAAAUAGAAGAGAAUUAACGAUAGAGAAAAUCUGUUGAGAGGGAAUAUGUACC
RNAcentral lists this long non-coding RNA (5151 nucleotides) under Capsicum annuum. Its description in RNAcentral is "long non-coding RNA (CANN_LNC016809)". The record is from RNAcentral. Lineage: Eukaryota; Viridiplantae; Streptophyta; Magnoliopsida; Solanales; Solanaceae.